RNAcentral lists this ribosomal RNA (499 nucleotides) under uncultured bacterium. RNAcentral's name for it is "bacterial SSU rRNA". It matches the Rfam family "Bacterial small subunit ribosomal RNA", at positions 28 to 529 of the family's 1533-position model. The record is from RNAcentral.
AAUGAACGCUGGCGGCGUGCCUAACACAUGCAAGUCGGAUGUGCCCGCAAGGGUGCAUGGCAGACGGGUGAGUAACGCGUGGGGAAUCUACCUUUUAGUGGGGAAUAACGCUCCGAAAGGAGUGGUAAUACCGCAUGUGACCAUUGGCUGGGAUGCUGAUGGUGAAACCCUGGGACCUUCGGGCCAGGGGCUAGAAGAGGAUCCUGCGUCUGAUUAGCUAGUUGGCGGGGUAACGGCCCACCAAGGCGACGAUCAGUAGCCGGCCUGAGAGGGUGAUCGGCCACACUGGAACUGAGACACGGUCCAGACUCCUACGGGAGGCAGCAGUGGGGUAUUUUGCGCAAUGGACGAAAGUCUGACGCAGCAACGCCGCGUGGGGGAUGAAGGUCUUCGGAUUGUAAACCCCUUUCGGGAGGAAGAUGGAGUGGGUAACCACUUGGACGGUACCUCCAGAAGCAGCCACGGCUAACUCCGUGCCAGCAGCCGCGGUAAGGUCGUC